Long non-coding RNA from Rhinichthys klamathensis goyatoka, 159 nucleotides. RefSeq lists it as uncharacterized. The transcript has 3 exons. The record is from RefSeq and is a predicted model, not a curated record. NCBI's taxonomy places the organism in Eukaryota, Metazoa, Chordata, Actinopteri, Cypriniformes, Leuciscidae.
AGGUAAACUUCAGUCUGUACAAUCCCCCAGUUUACAAUCCACAGGACAGCAGCGACUCAGACACUUCAGUCUUAGACAAGUACAGGAAUCCAGAAGGAAGGACUGGGAUACGGGGAAAAGGGGCUCUGAAAUCCCUCGGCCCGAAUCACAUUCUCCACC